GUUAGUGCAAUGGCAUAAGCCAGCUUGACUGCGAGCGUGACGGCGCGAGCAGGUGCGAAAGCAGGUCAUAGUGAUCCGGUGGUUCUGAAUGGAAGGGCCAUCGCUCAACGGAUAAAAGGUACUCCGGGGAUAACAGGCUGAUACCGCCCAAGAGUUCAUAUCGACGGCGGUGUUUGGCACCUCGAUGUCGGCUCAUCACAUCCUGGGGCUGAAGUAGGUCCCAAGGGUAUGGCUGUUCGCCAUUUAAAGUGGUACGCGAGCUGGGUUUAGAACGUCGUGAGACAGUUCGGUCCCUA
Molecule: ribosomal RNA, 296 nt
Filed under: Escherichia coli
Lineage: Bacteria; Pseudomonadati; Pseudomonadota; Gammaproteobacteria; Enterobacterales; Enterobacteriaceae
Also listed under: 1 other name
Description: partial 23S ribosomal RNA
Rfam family: Bacterial large subunit ribosomal RNA
Source: RNAcentral